UACGUAGGGGGCUAGCGUUGUCCGGAAUCACUGGGCUUAAAGCGUGUGUAGGCGGGUCGUUAAGUGCCUUGUGAAAUCCCAUGGCUCAACCAUGGAACUGCUUGGCAUACUGGCGAUCUUGAGCUACCUAAGGGCAACUGGAACAGACGGUGGAGCGGUGAAAUGCGUAGAUAUCGUCUGGAACGCCAAUGGUGAAGACAGGUUGCUGGGGGUAUGCUGACGCUGAGACACGAAAGCCAGGGGAGCAAACGGG
RNAcentral lists this ribosomal RNA (253 nucleotides) under uncultured bacterium. RNAcentral's name for it is "partial 16S ribosomal RNA". It matches the Rfam family "Bacterial small subunit ribosomal RNA", at positions 524 to 776 of the family's 1533-position model. The record is from RNAcentral.